RNAcentral lists this long non-coding RNA (3416 nucleotides) under Canis lupus familiaris (dog). RNAcentral's name for it is "lncRNA (ENSCAFG00845004445.1)". Lineage: Eukaryota; Metazoa; Chordata; Mammalia; Carnivora; Canidae. The record is from RNAcentral.
UCCUGUGAGAUGGGUCUGAACUCACUGGCCACCUCCUUACCCACCCUGAGCCUCUUCACUCCUCUGGGAAACUGAAAUGGUAAUGGGAUGUCCCUCACCAGCGCCGCUGUGAGGACUGAGCGAGAGGCUUUAGCCCACUGGCUCACUUAGUAAGCUCCUGACAAAUGUUAGCCUAACAGAUGAUGAUGAUGAUUAUGGUUUGUUCUUUCCUUUAGAGGUGUUCUUUGACUAAAUAUUUAAAAUUUCUACCUAUUUGUUGUUGUUUUACCCCAUCAUGCUUUUAAAUAAAACUGGUUCCACAGAAAGCAUUGGGCGGCAUCCUCCAUCACUGUGAAUAGGGCUUAGGGAAAGUUGGGUGUCGUUCUACACAGUCAUGGAAAACAGGCUAUAAUAAGAUCAUCUUUCUCCCUGCUUUAUAGAGGUGUCAUAUCAUGAAUUGGUUCAACUAUGUAAAGUGGCACUUGUUUGUUUUUCCAGCGUAUAAUGCAUGUAACUAAUAGAAUCCCCUGCUAUCAGAUGGUUCUGAAAGCUUGCUCAAAGCACAGCAAAAUGAUAAGAUGCCACAGACUUUUUGUGUUACCUACAAUAUCCCUUUUCUUUCAUUUUAUUUUUAUUUUUUUCUUUCAUUUUAAAGAGUAGAUUUCUAGGUCAGAAACUGAAAUGUGUUCAAGGAAUCCCCCCCCCCCCCCCCCCCCAAACCUUUUAUUGAAGGGAGUACUUUGUAGUUUUUCCAAGAGCUGGUGAGGUGGCCACUGCAAUCCCACCUCACUUAUUUGGAGGCAAUGUAUCAGAUAACCUCAGCUACCGAGAACAUACCUGAAGAGUAGGAAAAAGGUCUCUUGAGCUGCCAUAAAAUAUGUCUGAGUAUUUGCUUCAAAAUUUAGGCAGAUGACUCAGAAGCCCCCAGGGUUUUAUCAAAACCAAAUUAUUUCUUAAUUUUAUAAUCCUAUAGAAUCUGUACAGGUUUCUUUUCUUAGUUCUCUUUUCUCCAACCCCCCACACAUUCGAGGCAGAAAACUUGAGGUUUGACAGGUACAGAGUAGAGGGGGUUGGAAUCAAAGGUACAGGAUCAAGGAGCCUCAAGUAGUAUGAAAAGUUCACUGAUGUCCCUGAGGAAGAUGCCUGUGUGACCCGAAUGAGCAAUACAGGUGAAAUUCUUUUCAUUUUAUUCUGUUUGGGAAGGCAGAUACUAUAAAACUUCUAGAACAUUGUCAUCAAUAAAAUUUAAGAAAGAAACCAUGAUUAUAUGGAAUGCUUCACCAUGGGUCCAGAUAUGGGAAUUCGUUCUUUUCUCUGGCAUGAUCUUCAACUAACCAUGGAGUUCCUGGGGCAUACAUCUUAGCUUUUUCAUUUUGAAUGUUUUCUCCUUUGCCUUUCCCCAUUGUGCAUAUGUGAUUCUUCUCAUGUUUUGCCUUAAAGGAAUUCAAAAUAAACGUUUAGAGAGAAAAGAAACUUCAGGUGUCUUGAGUAUUGAAUUUAUCAAUACUAAGCUGUCUUGUUUUUUGUUUUGUUUUAACCCUCCAUUAAUGCUCUCACUCCAAGUACUAGACAAUAACAACAGCCACCAAAAGCAACUGUAUCAGCAUUUAUUUCCCUCCCUUAGCUGUGUUUGUAAACUUAAGGCUAGGUUCUGCAGAGUAUCACUAGAAUCCUGCACCAUACUGUUCUCAUAGAAAGUGCUCACUAAACCUCAAAGCAAUAGUUGGAGAUAGAUACUAUUUUUAUCUCCAUUUACAGAUGGGAGUUUGGAAGGUGAGAGAAAUUGAGUGGCUUGCCUCCAGUCAUACUACCGGAGGGGAGAACCAGAGCUAAUAUUGGCUCUUGGUCCAUGGUGCCAACUCUGGUAGCUGGGAAGCUCACAUGAGCUUGGUAUUCCUGGAUCCCUGAUUCCACUUCUUUGUAAUGUAUAAGCAUUGAAUUCCUGUUUCUUAAUUGACAAAAAGUUAAAAAAAGAAAAAAAAGGACUGAUUGGAAUCCUUUAUUAAACCUCUUUGGUUGAUUGAAUUGGCAUAACUGUCUAGCUCAAAGAAAAUGAACUAUUUUAGAAAGCACAGAGAUUUCAUGAUCCCCUCCCCCCGCCCCCAUUCACCUACUCUUUUAUUUUUUUUAGUUUGACAGAAUUCUUAGGUUGUAUACUGAAAAGCCUAUGGGUUAAAGCUAAUCUGUAUGUUUAAAAUGAUGCAUUGACAAUCCUUCUUUUGCUUUUCCUUUUUUUAACUUUUUAGAGGGUUGACAACUUUAAAAGAAAUGGCAUGUUUCUUUAACCCCAAGAACAUUUUAUUUAAAUUUAGUCACUGGUUUGGAGAAAGAAUAAACAGAACCUUCACUUAAAUGUUCCCGUGUCUUAGAAGAAUGAAUGGGUAGUGAUAUGAUUUAUAGCUGGCGUAAGAAUAAAGAAGAUAAAAGAAAAUUGAAACCCAAAAUUAUUGGUUUCAGCAGAGUAUUUCUGAUUUAAUUCUGAACUGUGAAUACAGUUUACGCUUUGCUUAAAUUUUUCUUGCCAGGUUGUGGAAGCAAAUCUCUACCUUUUGUAUAACAUGCAGCUUAAUUGAAUGCUCAUUGUCUAUAUAGAUAACUUAAACCGUAUUUACAUCUGGCACUGUGCCUCAAUAUCUGUUGAUUGAAUAAAUAGAAGAAUGAAUGAAUGAAACUCAUUUGAAAAGGAAGACAUUGAUAUGUUAGCAUUUAUAUCAUGUGAAGUGGGUAUAUUUUUAUAAAAGUUAGUGAUAAAAGGAAUAGUGCAAACUCCUAAAAAGCUUUUGGUGCCGUGGACACCAGCACCUUGCUACAAAAAAAUCCAGGCAUGAACAGUGGAAUAGGUCAGGUUAAUGAAUUCCCCCUAAGAAUCUAAUAUUUUCCCAGGGGCCCCAAGGGUCAGCUUUGUAUUGAAUGCAGAUUAUCUUUCAUGGUGUUCAUUUAAAUGCUUUGUAACAUAUUUAGUAAUUGAAAACAGAGAUUUCAAUUGAACAAUGGUUUCACUUUCUGUUUAUAUGAGUGCAUUUACUGUUGUUUACGACUUACCCCUUCUCAUGUCUGAAUUUCAACCAUGGGUUUCCCAAAGCUUAGUUCUAGAAAACAGUUGGAUUUUUUCACCUUAUCACACAAUGUUUGGCUCCAGAGUAUUGAAAACCUUCUGUUAUGAUGUUUAAAACUGUCACCUGUUAAUAAAAACCUUCUUGUGGGUUUAAAAAUACACAUUCUUUGUGUUUUUUUUUUUAUAGUAAUCAUGGGAGAAGGUCACACAGACUUAUUUCAUGGAGGUUGCCCACUGAGCAAAACCUUUUUUUUCUGUUUCUCUUUAUGAAUUUGAGUUAUUUGAAUCUUUCCAACAGUAGCAGAUCUUCAUUCUUCGGGAUAAUUGGAUUUAUUUUAAACCAGCCCAGAAUCAUUUGGAAUCACUUUAUUAAGGUGGACAU